UGAGGAAUCUUCCGCAAUGGGCGAAAGCCUGACGGAGCGACACCGCGUGAAGGAUGAAGCCCUUUCCGGGCGUAAACUUCUGUUCUGAGGGACGAAAUUUUUGACGGUACCUCAGGAGAAAGCACCGGCUAAUUCUGUGCCAGCAGCCGCGGUAAGACAGAAGGUGCAAGCGUUACUCGGAAUUACUGGGCGUAAAGGGUCCGCAGGCUCCUUGCCACGUCUGGGGUAAAAGCACGUCGCUCAACGGCGUGUACGUCCCGGAAACGAGCAGGGUUGAGCCAUUCAGAGGCAUCUGGAAUGCCGUGUGUAGGGGUAAAAUCCGUUGAUCCACGGUGGAACGCCGAAAGUGAAAACAGGAUGCUGGGAAUGUGCUGACGCUCAUGGACGAAAGCGUGGGGAGCAAACGGG
Molecule: ribosomal RNA, 408 nt
Filed under: uncultured bacterium
Lineage: Bacteria
Description: bacterial SSU rRNA
Rfam family: Bacterial small subunit ribosomal RNA
Source: RNAcentral